This 1347-nucleotide ribosomal RNA is filed under the name uncultured bacterium. RNAcentral's name for it is "bacterial SSU rRNA". It matches the Rfam family "Bacterial small subunit ribosomal RNA", at positions 28 to 1381 of the family's 1533-position model. The record is from RNAcentral.
GACGAACGCUGGCGGCGUGCUUAACACAUGCAAGUCGAACGGAAAGGCCCUGCUUUUGUGGGGUGCUCGAGUGGCGAACGGGUGAGUAACACGUGAGUAACCUGCCCUUGACUUUGGGAUAACUUCAGGAAACUGGGGCUAAUACCGGAUAGGAGCUCCUGCUGCAUGGUGGGGGUUGGAAAGUUUCGGCGGUUGGGGAUGGACUCGCGGCUUAUCAGCUUGUUGGUGGGGUAGUGGCUUACCAAGGCUUUGACGGGUAGCCGGCCUGAGAGGGUGACCGGCCACAUUGGGACUGAGAUACGGCCCAGACUCCUACGGGAGGCAGCAGUGGGGAAUAUUGCACAAUGGGCGGAAGCCUGAUGCAGCAACGCCGCGUGCGGGAUGACGGCCUUCGGGUUGUAAACCGCUUUCGCCUGUGACGAAGCGUGAGUGACGGUAAUGGGUAAAGAAGCACCGGCUAACUACGUGCCAGCAGCCGCGGUGAUACGUAGGGUGCGAGCGUUGUCCGGAUUUAUUGGGCGUAAAGGGCUCGUAGGUGGUUGAUCGCGUCGGAAGUGUAAUCUUGGGGCUUAACCCUGAGCGUGCUUUCGAUACGGGUUGACUUGAGGAAGGUAGGGGAGAAUGGAAUUUCCUGGUGGAGCGGUGGAAUGCGCAAAUAUCAGGAGGAACACCAGUGGCGAAGGCGGUUCUCUGGGCCUUUCCUGACGCUGAGGAGCGAAAGCGUGGGGAGCGAACAGGCUUAGAUACCCUGGUAGUCCACGCUGUAAACGGUGGGUACUAGGUGUGGGGUCCAUUCCACGGGUUCCGUGCCGUAGCUAACGCUUUAAGUACCCCGCCUGGGGAGUACGGCCGCAAGGCUAAAACUCAAAGGAAUUGACGGGGCCCCGCACAAGCGGCGGAGCAUGCGGAUUAAUUCGAUGCAACGCGUAGAACCUUACCUGGGUUUGACAUGGAUCGGGAGCGCUCAGAGAUGGGUGUGCCUCUUUUGGGGUCGGUUCACAGGUGGUGCAUGGCUGUCGUCAGCUCGUGUCGUGAGAUGUUGGGUUAAGUCCCGCAACGAGCGCAACCCUUGUUCACUGUUGCCAGCACGUUAUGGUGGGGACUCAGUGGAGACCGCCGGGGUCAACUCGGAGGAAGGUGGGGAUGACGUCAAGUCAUCAUGCCCCUUAUGUCCAGGGCUUCACGCAUGCUACAAUGGCUGGUACAGAGAGUGGCGAGCCUGUGAGGGUGAGCGAAUCUCGGAAAGCCGGUCUCAGUUCGGAUUGGGGUCUGCAACUCGACCUCAUGAAGUCGGAGUCGCUAGUAAUCGCAGAUCAGCAACGCUGCGGUGAAUACGUUCCCGGGGCU